RNAcentral lists this ribosomal RNA (776 nucleotides) under uncultured Neocallimastigales. RNAcentral describes it as "partial large subunit ribosomal RNA". It matches the Rfam family "Eukaryotic large subunit ribosomal RNA", at positions 22 to 635 of the family's 3401-position model. The record is from RNAcentral. Lineage: Eukaryota; Fungi; Neocallimastigomycota; Neocallimastigomycetes; Neocallimastigales.
GUACACGCUGUGACUAGCAUAUCAAUAAGCGGAGGAAAAGAAACUAACAAGGAUUCCCCUAGUAACGGCGAGUGAAGCGGGAAGAGCUCAAAUUUGAAAUCUUAAAGGGUUUCCCUUUACGAAUUGUAGUUUAAAGAAGUGUUUUCUGUUGAGGUUUUGGUAAAAGUUCUUUGGAAUAGGACAUCAUAGAGGGUGAGAAUCCCGUAUUUGACCUUUACUUUCAACUUUGUGAUACACUUUCAAAGAGUCGGAUUGUUUGGGAAUGCAGUCCAAAAUGGGUGGUAAAUUUCAUCUAAAGCUAAAUAUUGGCGAGAGACCGAUAGCGAACAAGUACCGUGAGGGAAAGAUGAAAAGAACUUCGAAAAGAGAGUUAAACAGUACGUGAAAUUGUCAAAAGGGGAAGCGUUUGACACCAGUGUUGUUUUUCUGGAAAUCAAUUAAAGAACUGUUUAUGCUAAGCUGUUUAGACUUUAUCAGCUAUACUGUUUAGUUUUGAGCUUUUCUUUAAUGCACUUUUCAGUUAACAAGUCAACAUCAAUUUCUUUUGCUGUAAAAAAGCUUGAGGAAGGUGGCUUGAGAUUCGUCUUAAGUGUUUAUAGCCUCUUGCCUAUGCAGUCGGAGAGAUUGAGGUCUGCAGCGUAGAUCCUUCGGGGCUAAAUGCAUUUGUGCUAAGUUAUAGCAUUUUAUAGACAACUUGUUGACUAUGAUUUGUCUUGUAGCUUACUCGCUUAUGUUAUUUUACCUACGCUUAGGAUGUUGAAGAUGUAGCACAUCAU